UAGGGAAUCUUCGGCAAUGGACGAAAGUCUGACCGAGCAACGCCGCGUGAGUGAAGAAGGUUUUCGGAUCGUAAAACUCUGUUGUUAGAGAAGAACAAGGACGUUAGUAACUGAACGUCCCCUGACGGUAUCUAACCAGAAAGCCACGGCUAACUACGUGCCAGCAGCCGCGGUAAUACGUAGGUGGCAAGCGUUGUCCGGUUUUAGUGGGCGUAAAGCGAGCGCAGGCGGUUUCUUAAGUCUGAUGUGAAAGCCCCCGGCUCAACCGGGGAGGGUCAUUGGAAACUGGGAGACUUGAGUGCAGAAGAGGAGAGUGGAAUUCCAUGUGUAGCGGUGAAAUGCGUAGAUAUAUGGAGGAACACCAGUGGCGAAGGCGGCUCUCUGGUCUGUAACUGACGCUGAGGCUCGAAAGCGUGGGGAGCAAACAGG
RNAcentral lists this ribosomal RNA (429 nucleotides) under Gemmatimonadota bacterium. Its description in RNAcentral is "Gemmatimonadetes bacterium partial 16S ribosomal RNA". It matches the Rfam family "Bacterial small subunit ribosomal RNA", at positions 355 to 776 of the family's 1533-position model. The record is from RNAcentral. Lineage: Bacteria; Pseudomonadati; Gemmatimonadota.